UUUCGCAUAACAACCCUUAAAAUGCUAAGCAAUACUGGCAUUAAAACUGUCAGUACAAUUCAAGAUUGUCUUGGAGACAGCAGACAUUGAGAAAUGAAAGGAAGAAUUUGGAAUUGUGGACAAAAUUCAUAAGAUAGUCAUGUUGGAGCUAGUAGCAUGAAAACCACCUAUCAUCCACCACUUUAUUUUACAGUAUCCUGCUGACUGCCUGUGAUGGACUCGAGGAGUUGAGGGCAAUGAUGGAC
Molecule: long non-coding RNA, 245 nt
Organism: Hyaena hyaena (striped hyena)
Lineage: Eukaryota; Metazoa; Chordata; Mammalia; Carnivora; Hyaenidae
Exons: 3
Source: RefSeq, a predicted model, not a curated record